RNAcentral lists this ribosomal RNA (730 nucleotides) under uncultured bacterium. RNAcentral describes it as "bacterial SSU rRNA". It matches the Rfam family "Bacterial small subunit ribosomal RNA", at positions 28 to 776 of the family's 1533-position model. The record is from RNAcentral.
GAUGAACGCUGACAGAAUGCUUAACACAUGCAAGUCGACUUGAAGCAACUUCGGUUGUGGAAAGUGGCGGACGGGUGAGUAACGCGUAAAGAACUUGCCCUUCAGUCUGGGACAACCAUUGGAAACGAUGGCUAAUACCGGAUAUUAUGGAACUCUCGCAUGGGAGGAUCAUGAAAGCUAUAUGCGCUGAAGGAGAGCUUUGCGUUCCAUUAGCUAGUUGGUGAGGUAACGGCUCACCAAGGCGACGAUGGAUAGCCGGCCUGAGAGGGUGAUCGGCCGCAAGGGGACUGAGACACGGCCCUUACUCCUACGGGAGGCAGCAGUGGGGAAUAUUGGACAAUGGACCAAAAGUCUGAUCCAGCAAUUCUGUGUGCACGAUGAAGGUUUUCGGAUCGUAAAGUGCUUUCAGUUGGGAAGAAGAAAGUGACGGUACCAACAGAAGAAGCGACGGCUAAAUACGUGCCAGCAGCCGCGGUAAUACGUAUGUCGCAAGCGUUAUCCGGAUUUAUUGGGCGUAAAGCGCGUCUAGGCGGGUUCAUAAGUCUGAUGUUAAAAUGCGGGGCUCAACUCCGUAUUGCGUUGGAAACUGUGAACCUAGAGUAUCAGAGAGGUGGGCGGAACUACAAGUGUAGAGGUGAAAUUCGUAGAUAUUUGUAGGAAUGCCGAUGGAGAAGUCAGCUCACUGGAUGAAUACUGACGCUAAAGCGCGAAAGCGUGGGUAGCAAACAGG